Molecule: non-coding RNA, 576 nt
Organism: Myodes glareolus (Bank vole)
Lineage: Eukaryota; Metazoa; Chordata; Mammalia; Rodentia; Cricetidae
Source: RefSeq, a predicted model, not a curated record
CUUGUUCAGUUAAGACAUCCGCAGCUGGGGUGUUGGUGCGAAUUGUCUCUUCUUGUGUGAACAUGGUGCAGACCAAAGCAAACUGCGUCCCGGGAGCCUACAGAAAAGUGGUGGCUUCUCGAGCUCCCAGGAAGGUGCUUGGCUCCUCCACCUUUGUCACCAAUUCUUCAUCGUGUUCGUCGAGAAAAGCUGAAAAUAAGUAUGCAGGAGGGAAUCCAGUUUGUGUGCGCCCAACUCCAAAGUGGCAAAAAGGCAACUGGAGAAUUCUUCAGGCUGUCUCCUAAAGAUCGUGAGAAAGAGAACCAGUUUCCUGAGGAAGCAGGAUGCAGUGGCUUAGGAACAUCAAAGAGAAAAGCAUGUCCUUUGCAACCUGAUCACCCAGAUGACGAAAAUGAAUAGAACUUACUCAUCUGAAUAAUGUCUUCAGUUUACUUAGGUAUUCUGGGAUGUAACUUGGGUAGAUGUGUUUGUUUAUUUGGCUUGUUGACUACGCAUUCAUGUAGCUAUUCAAAACAACUGGCUGUAAAAAGGGAAGAUUUUUAUAAUUUGUAAAUUAUAAUUGCAUACUCGAAUUUA